AUUCCAUCCUUCCUCGGCAUGGCGCUUCAUCAAAAGGCAAAGUUUAUUCCCGCGAACCCUCUUCCAAAUCUCCCCAAAAAAACCAUUGCCUUCGCCGCUUCGCACCAACAGUGAUGGCAGUAUCGAUGCAUGAUCCAUCGAUUUUAUCCCUUAUAGGACCCGGCGAAACAUUGUUAUUACAAAAAGCCCCCUCCCCGGCAUCAGCAGCUGCAGCUCCUCCGGGAUGCGCAUGCCGCGGCUGCCCCUCCUCCUCAAGAUAGCCGCGGCGGCGGCCGCCGGGGCGCUGGCGCUCAUUGUCGCGGCGCGCCUCCGCCGAGAGGACGCCGUGGCGUCCCUCCGCAGGGAGAUCCGCGAGUGCGUCUCGGCCCUCGUCGAGGAGGAGGGCGACGGCGACGGCGGCGGGGGCGGGGGCGGGGGCGCCAAGGAGGUCGCCUCGUCGCCGGCGCCGUCCGUGCUGAUCACGGGGUUCCGGGCCCACGGCAAGAGCUCGCUGGUCAACACGGCGUGCCGCGCGCUGGCGGCCGAGGACGGCCCGCUGCUGCUGCGCGCGGAGGCCUCGCCGCCCGGCGGGGGGACCGACGGGCCCAGGCGGCGGCGGAGGGUCAAGGCCGUGGUUGCCGGGGCCGACGGCGACGGCGCGGGGGACGGCGACAACGUGGUGGACCUGCUUGACGCGCCGCCGCUCCCCGAGGCGGCGAGGCUCUCCAGGGAUGACAUCGAUGCCGCGAUCAUUGGGGGGAACCCGGAGUGCGUGGUGCUCGUGCUGCGCUGCGACGCGCCCGCCAAGGAGCGGAACGCCGCCAUCAGGCGCCUCCCGGAGAUCUCUGCUGCCGUCAGGAACAAAGGGCUUAAUUUGAUCGUUGUAUUGACUUUUAAGAAGGCCAUGAGAUCAAUUAGGCAGGCUGAAGAGCUACUACGGGAGGUUUCGUUCAGGGCCCGAACUGAUUGUGUUUACUUCAUCGAGAACUACACCUGGAGCAACAAUGGGCCCAACCUCCACCAUCCACCUGUCAUCAAGAAUGACUUUGAGACACAUUUCACGGUGCUGACAAUCAUUCGACAGUGUCUUGAGUUCAUCAAGCUAAAUAGGAGCCAAUCCAAGGACAAGGGUGACAAGCAGGCAAAACCGGACGAGCCCAAACCUAAGAAUCCACCCGCAGAAGCUAAGCAAUGCCGGAAAUUCAAUGACUCCAGUGUAAGGCUCUUCUUCAACAGCUCAGAAACUUGAAUCUUCAUUUCGCACAGACGCAGGAAUAAAGAUAUCCCAGUCGUUGCAUCAACGUAACCAAGGAUUCACAAAGCUGUUCCUCUAUCUUAGUUGAGUGGCAGUGCUCGUGCCUUCUUCUAAAACAAAGUUGGGGGAAAAUAGAGCUGGCAGAGGAAGAAUUGAACAAUGGGGAAAAAAUGCAGUGCACACCAUCAAUUGAAGUUUGCUCUCUUUUGGAACUUGUUUUGCAAAAGGAAAAAAACACUCUUUUGAUUCUUUUUGCGAUUGUGACCCAACAAUAGCUUACAGGAUAGCUUAAGAU
RNA transcript from Setaria italica (foxtail millet), 1529 nucleotides. RefSeq lists it as uncharacterized. NCBI's taxonomy places the organism in Eukaryota, Viridiplantae, Streptophyta, Magnoliopsida, Poales, Poaceae. The transcript has 4 exons. The record is from RefSeq and is a predicted model, not a curated record.